RNAcentral lists this ribosomal RNA (253 nucleotides) under uncultured bacterium. RNAcentral describes it as "partial 16S ribosomal RNA". It matches the Rfam family "Bacterial small subunit ribosomal RNA", at positions 524 to 776 of the family's 1533-position model. The record is from RNAcentral.
UACGUAGGGUGCAAGCGUUAAUCGGAAUUACUGGGCGUAAAGCGUGCGCAGGCGGUUUUGUAAGUCUGACGUGAAAUCCCCGGGCUCAACCUGGGAAUUGCGUUGGAGACUGCAAGGCUGGAGUCUGGCAGAGGGGGGUAGAAUUCCACGUGUAGCAGUGAAAUGCGUAGAGAUGUGGAGGAACACCGAUGGCGAGGGCAGCCCCCUGGGUCAAGACUGACGCUCAUGCACGAAGGCCAGGGGAGCAAACGGG